RNAcentral lists this ribosomal RNA (1098 nucleotides) under Russula sp. RNAcentral describes it as "partial 28S large subunit ribosomal RNA". It matches the Rfam family "Eukaryotic large subunit ribosomal RNA", at positions 1 to 1093 of the family's 3401-position model. Lineage: Eukaryota; Fungi; Basidiomycota; Agaricomycetes; Russulales; Russulaceae. The record is from RNAcentral.
CGUUUUUUUUUUACCCGCGUUGGACUAAGCAUAUCAAUAAGCGGAGGAAAAGAAACUAACAAGGAUUCCCCUAGUAACUGCGAGUGAAGCGGGAAAAGCUCAAAUUUAAAAUCUGGUGGUCUUUGGCCAUCCGAGUUGUAAUUUAGAGAAGCGUCUUCCGCGCUGGACCGUGCAUAAGUCUCCUGGAAUGGAGCGUCAUAGAGGGUGAGAAUCCCGUCUUUGGCAUGGACCCCAGGGCUUCUGUGAUGCGCUCUCAAAGAGUCGAGUUGUUUGGGAAUGCAGCUCAAAAUGGGUGGUGAACUCCAUCUAAAGCUAAAUAUUGGCGAGAGACCGAUAGCGAACAAGUACCGUGAGGGAAAGAUGAAAAGCACUUUGGAAAGAGAGUGAAACAGUACGUGAAAUUGUUGAAAGGGAAACGCUUGAAGUCAGUCGCGUYGACCGAGACUCAGCCUUGCCUCGGCUUGGUGUACUUCUCGGCUGACGGGUCAGCAUCAAUUUCGAUCCUUGGAUAAUGGCAAGGGAAAGGUAGCACCUUUACCGGUGUGUUAUAGUCCUCUGUCGCAUGCAAGGGUCGGGAUUGAGGAACUCAGCAUGCACCUUUUCGGUGUCGGGGCCUCGGCCUACGUUACGUGCUUAGGAUGCUGGCAUAAUGGCUUUAAACGACCCGUCUUGAAACACGGACCAAGGAGUCUAACAUGCACGCGAGUGUUCGGGUGGAAAACCCGUGCGCGUAAUGAAAGUAAAAGUUGGGACCUCUGUCGUGGAGGGCACCGACGCCCGGACCAGACCUUCUGUGACGGCUCUGCGGUAGAGCGUGUAUGUUGGGACCCGAAAGAUGGUGAACUAUGCCUGAAUAGGGUGAAGCCAGAGGAAACUCUGGUGGAGGCUCGUAGCGAUUCUGACGUGCAAAUCGAUCGUCAAAUUUGGGUAUAGGGGCGAAAGACUAAUCGAACCAUCUAGUAGCUGGUUCCUGCCGAAUCUCCCUUUCAGGAAAAAAAACCGCUACUAGAAGGUUCGAUAAGCCUUCGCCUAUACCAAUUUGACGAUGAUUUGCCGUCAGAAUCCUACAAGCUCCCCAGAAUUUCCCUGGCUUACUAA